RNAcentral lists this unclassified non-coding RNA (396 nucleotides) under soil metagenome. RNAcentral describes it as "partial contains 5.8S ribosomal RNA, internal transcribed spacer 2, and large subunit ribosomal RNA". The stretch from base 1 to 120 matches the Rfam family "5.8S ribosomal RNA", at positions 35 to 154 of the family's 154-position model. The record is from RNAcentral.
GAUGAAGAACGUAGCGAAAUGCGAUAAGUAGUGUGAAUUGCAGAAUACAGUGAAUCAUCGAAUCUUUGAACGCACAUUGCGCCUCCUGGCAUUCCGGGAGGCAUGCCUGUUCGAGCGUCAUCAAACCCCAUCGUGCAAAUGAAUUAUUUUUUUUGCGCGGAAGUGACGAUUGAGCGAGAAUAACAAAUCCUCUCGCACCUCGUCGAAAUGAUUGCGGGCGGAAUUUGGGAUCGGGUUCCUCGGCGUAGUGUAUCAAUGCAUAUUUAUGCAACUUGCCGCGGAGUUGAGCCUGACCCACGCGUUCUCGCCGUACAAACACCUCAUUACUUUACAAGUUUUUGACCUCGGAUCAGGUAGGGAUACCCGCUGAACUUAAGCAUAUCAAUAAGCGGAGGA